This is a long non-coding RNA of Gossypium arboreum, 474 nucleotides long. RefSeq lists it as uncharacterized. Lineage: Eukaryota; Viridiplantae; Streptophyta; Magnoliopsida; Malvales; Malvaceae. The record is from RefSeq and is a predicted model, not a curated record. The transcript has 3 exons.
ACAGUGAAGAACCGGUCAAGAUAUUGGCACGGGAGACAAAAGAGCUUAGAAAUAAAAAGAUAAAUUUGGUGAAAGUAUUGUGGCAAAAGCACGGGAUUGAGGAAGCAACAUGGGAACCGGAGGAGGCAAUGAGGAAACAAUACCCAAACCUCUUUACUGAUCCAGAAGAUUCAAAUACGAAGCUAGAUCGAGGAAAGGAAAAAGUUCGGGAUUAGUAGAUUUUUACUGUUUACAAACAAGUAUCAAGUGUUAAGAGCUCGGAGGUCGGAUUUGGUCGGAGACACAUCACACUGUCAACCUCAGGAUUUCGGUAUAUAAAGAAACUUUAUUUUAGAAAUCAAUGGCAUGUAUAAGCUAACAAAGUAAAUGUUAACGUGAAAUGAAUGUAAAGUUAGCCAUUAGUAUGGUUAACAAACCUGGUUAUAGAUAUGUGACGACGUUAUCUUAUAUAAAUGCAUGAAUCUAUCAUAAAAA